GAACGAACGCUGGCGGCGCGUUUAAGCAUGCAAGUCGAGCGGUAAGCCGGAGCAAUCCGGCCUAGAGCGGCGGACGGGUGAGUAACACGUGGAUAAUCUGGCCUACAGUUUGGGAUAGCCUGGUGAAAGCCAGGAUAAUACCGGAUACGACGGUUUUUGUCAUAAGACGGAAACGGGAAAGGGGCUAAGGCCUCGCUGAAGGAUGAGUCCGCGUCCCAUUAGCUAGAUGGUGAGGUAAAGGCCCACCAUGGCGAUGAUGGGUAGCCGGCCUAAGAGGGUGAACGGCCACAUUGGGACUGAGAUACGGCCCAGACUCCUACGGGAGGCAGCAGCUAAGAAUCUUCCGCAAUGGUCGAAAGACUGACGGAGCGACGCCGCGUGAAUGAUGAAAGGCCGUGAGGUUGUAAAGUUCUUUUCUGGAGGGAGAAUAAGGUCUGUAGGGAAUGACAGGCUGAUGACGUGAAUCCAGGAAUAAGCCCCGGCUAACUACGUGCCAGCCGCAGC
This 504-nucleotide ribosomal RNA is filed under the name uncultured bacterium. RNAcentral's name for it is "bacterial SSU rRNA". It matches the Rfam family "Bacterial small subunit ribosomal RNA", at positions 27 to 518 of the family's 1533-position model. The record is from RNAcentral.